RNAcentral lists this small RNA (28 nucleotides) under Bombyx mori (domestic silkworm). RNAcentral's name for it is "piRNA piR-bmo-1655989". Lineage: Eukaryota; Metazoa; Arthropoda; Insecta; Lepidoptera; Bombycidae. The record is from RNAcentral.
UGAUUAGGAAUGGCAAAGACUUCGGGCC